GGGCCGCUAGCUCAAUCGGCAGAGCAGCUGACUCUUAAUCAGCCGGUUCCGAGUUCGACUCUCGGGCGGCUCACCA
Molecule: transfer RNA, 76 nt
Filed under: Chloroflexota bacterium
Lineage: Bacteria; Bacillati; Chloroflexota
Description: Chloroflexi bacterium (groundwater metagenome) tRNA-Lys
Rfam family: tRNA
About the family: Transfer RNA (tRNA) molecules are approximately 80 nucleotides in length.
Source: RNAcentral